Long non-coding RNA from Cannabis sativa, 1390 nucleotides. RefSeq lists it as uncharacterized. The transcript has 3 exons. The record is from RefSeq and is a predicted model, not a curated record. Lineage: Eukaryota; Viridiplantae; Streptophyta; Magnoliopsida; Rosales; Cannabaceae.
UACAAAAUUUACUAUUCACGUCGGUCAACGCGACUAUUCAUUGCGUUGACCGACGUGAAUAGUAUCAUAUUACAUAUAUUCGUCUUUUAUGAAAUGACACAAAUAAUAAAUGGUUUGCGUCGGUUGUAUAUGCUCACUAAUUCCGCAACCGACGGAAAAAGAAAAAAAAAAUAAAACAAAACAUAUUUAGCGACGUUUUACAAACAUCGCGAGUUCUUUGUGUGUCGUUUUUAAAUCGAUGGUAAAGAAUUUGCUACUGUGAGAAAAGGUCGCAAACUCUCUUACGAUUCACUUACCCCCAAAUUUCUUAUAAACCAAAUCAUUUCUUACGAACCCUAGGCGAAUUUCCUCUACUGCUCAACUUCGAAGUCUUGAACUCCCUCCUCUGCUCACGCGAUUUUGCUCUGCCAUGCCUCAGAUUUUUGCUCCUCCAGUGCUGUAAGUUCCCUCUGCUCGUGCUAUCGCGGUCUCGAUCUCUUCGACCUCCGUAAGUAUCUCAAAUGCAAUUAUACCUUCCUUCGAGGCAGCCAUCAAUCAAUCCUUUUAUGUUCAUCCCCAAUUUAUUUCUCAGUAUUAUCCUUUAUAUUUCUCAAAACACCUAAUACGAUUAGCCAUAUGUUCCUCUGCAUCUUUCUUAAUUAAACCUUUUCUUCAAAUUAUUUUAUGUAUAUAAAUAAUUUAUUUUCUAAAAUCAAGAUCUUAUUUAACAUCCAUUGUUAGAAACUCUCUUCAACUAAAUCUCUCAUUGCAACCACAUGAAGAUUUUUAGGGUUUCACUUUCAGUUGAAGCCUUAAUAUUCUCUAUUUUGAUUGUUCUUCCAGAGUUGUCAUCUGCUACAUCUGUUCUUUCUAUGGAUUUGAAGGACCUAUCAAAAGUUUGGAGAGAGGUUAGGACAGAGUACUAUGGAUUGACUUUACAUUAAGCUAUUUCUUCAUGUAUGAAAAGGUAUAAUGUCUUUUAAAUAAAUAUAUAUUAUGAUUAGAUUCUGGACUUUAUAUAAAUGAUUAACUUGAUAUUUUCAAUUGUGGUUGAAGGGAAGAAAACUAGUUUCAUACAUAAGACAAAUUAUCUCAUCUUCAUGAUUAGUGCAUUUCAGGAACCAUUGAUUAUUGAAUGUUUCUUUUCUAAUUAUUUUGGUUAUAAUUUGAAAGUGUACUCUUUUUCAUUUAAUCUUGAUACUUCUAUUAUAAGAGGUGUGGAUUAUUUUUUAGGUGGAGCCAUUUAUUAAUUCUAAACUUACUCAUAGUGUAAAUUAGUUUCUAAUAUUAAUAAAAACAGUGACAAGCAACUUUAUGACUUGCUUAUCACUGCUCGUUUUUCUUAGUUUGCAGUGAAGAAUCAUGCUCAUCAAGUGUAUGUUUUUUUUCGUUAUCCAAUUAUUUGUGUGUA